This 440-nucleotide ribosomal RNA is filed under the name uncultured bacterium. RNAcentral describes it as "partial 16S ribosomal RNA". It matches the Rfam family "Bacterial small subunit ribosomal RNA", at positions 338 to 795 of the family's 1533-position model. The record is from RNAcentral.
CCUACGGGGUGCAGCAGUGGGGGAUAUUGCACAAUGGGGGAAACCCUGAUGCAGCGACGCCGCGUGUGGGAAGACGGUCUUCUGGAUUGUAAACCACUGUCCCCAGGGACGAAAAUGACGGUACCUGGGGAGGAAGCUCCGGCUAACUACGUGCCAGCAGCCGCGGUAAUACGUAGGGAGCAAGCGUUGUCCGGAAUUACUGGGUGUAAAGGGAGCGUAGGCGGGGAUGCAAGUUGGGUGUCAAAACUACCGGCUCAACCGAUAGUCGCACUCAAAACUGCAGCUCUUGAGUGAAGUAGAGGCAGGCGGAAGUCCUAGUGUAGCGGUGAAAUGCGUAGAUAUUAGGAGGAACACCAGUGGCGAAGGCGGCCUGCUGGGCUUUUACUGACGCUGAGGCUCGAAAGUGUGGGGAGCAAACAGGAUUAGAUACCCUUGUAGUC